AGUGAACGCUGGCGGUAGGCCUAACACAUGCAAGUCGAACGGCAGCACAGUAAGAGCUUGCUCUUACGGGUGGCGAGUGGCGGACGAGUGAGGAAUACAUCGGAAUCUACUUUUUCGUGGGGGAUAACGUAGGGAAACUUACGCUAAUACCGCAUACGACCUACGGGUGAAAGCAGGGGAUCUUCGGACCUUGCGCGAUCGAAUGAGCCGAUGUCGGAUUAGCUAGUUGGCGGGGUAAAGGCCCACCAAGGCGACGAUCCGUAGCUGGUCUGAGAGGAUGAUCAGCCACACUGGAACUGAGACACGGUCCAGACUCCUACGGGAGGCAGCAGUGGGGAAUAUUGGACAAUGGGCGCAAGCCUGAUCCAGCCAUACCGCGUGGGUGAAGAAGGCCUUCGGGUUGUAAAGCCCUUUUGUUGGGAAAGAAAAGCAGCAGGUUAAUACCCCGCUGUUCUGACGGUACCCAAAGAAUAAGCACCGGCUAGCUUCGUG
This 492-nucleotide ribosomal RNA is filed under the name uncultured bacterium. RNAcentral describes it as "partial 16S ribosomal RNA". It matches the Rfam family "Bacterial small subunit ribosomal RNA", at positions 29 to 507 of the family's 1533-position model. The record is from RNAcentral.